RNAcentral lists this ribosomal RNA (371 nucleotides) under uncultured Glomeromycotina. RNAcentral describes it as "LSU rRNA". Lineage: Eukaryota; Fungi; Glomeromycota. The record is from RNAcentral.
UUGAAAGGGAAACGAUUGAAGUCAGUCGUACCGACGAGAAAUCAGCUUAUCGUGUGUUAACUUGUGGGCGUGCGUGAGUUUCGGCCUCGCUGUUUGCAUGUUUGUGCGCUUUGGGUGUACUUUUUCGUAUGGUUGGCCAACAUCAGUUUCGAUCACUAUAAAAUGACUGGCGGAAUGUAGCUUCGAUUUCGGUUGAAGUGUUAUAGCCUCUGGUAGAUGUGGUAAUCGGGACUGAGGAUUGCAACGAAUAUCCUUUGGGCUAUCCGUCUGGCCUCUGAAAGUUGCUUAGGUGCUGAAAGCGUGCUUAUGGUUAUCUAAGUUAACGGUCAAUAGGUUAGAACGUGAUUACAUUCGUUAAGGAUGUUGACGUA